CACAGGUGGUGGUGGGAGGCACUGGGGUGGGGCUGUGAGAGCCUGCACAGCUCUACUUCUCACUGGCAUGUUCGUGAUGUGACGGCAGGACUGCCACAAGUGGUGCUGGAACCGGGACCUGAGUAUCGAGGGAUCCAGUGAAGGACACCACAGAGAAGAACGAGGCCUCAAUGAAAAGGUAAGGAGUGGUGAAUUUUCUUGUAAAUAUU
Molecule: long non-coding RNA, 209 nt
Filed under: Fukomys damarensis (Damara mole-rat)
Lineage: Eukaryota; Metazoa; Chordata; Mammalia; Rodentia; Bathyergidae
Description: lncRNA (ENSFDAG00000024490.1)
Source: RNAcentral